UCAGCGACGGCGCCGGGGCCGGGGCCGGUGCGCUUGGGAUGGCGAGGGGGGGUAGGGAGAGAGAGAGAGGGAGCGCCGGCGACCGGAGGUCGUAGCCGGCGGUCUGGUCAGCGCCGGCGACCGUAGGUCGGAGCCGGCGGCCGGAUCGGGUCGGCGCCGAAGGUCAGCGACGGCGCCGGGAACCGGGGGCCGGUAAGCCGGUGGUGGAGAGAGGGUCGGGAGAGAGAGGGAGGGGGAGAGAGCCGUUGGGAGAGAGAGAGAGGGUUUGGGAGAGAGAGAGAGGGUCGGGAGAGCGAGAGAGAGAGAGAGCCGUUCUCAAAUUCUUCCUUAAUCUCGAAGAUAAAAGAAUUAUGAGUUCCAAUAAUUUUGCUUUGCAAGUAUGAUGUGGAGGAACAAUGUCCUAUACAAGCUAUGUCUAUCAGGUUUCAGUACUUAUCCUCGUGGUGUAUAUGGAUGUCUAUUUGUCUCCUUCUACUAGUUGUUUCAAUCCCAUGGAAGAGCCUUCAAGUUCAAAUGUAGAGUUAAAUAAAGAGACCUAACAGAGUAUAAUCCAGCUAGUUCAUUACCUGAUAGUUACAAAGUCAACUAACCAAGAGAAACAAAAAUAAAAAAAAAAAAAUGUAGUACCUCAAAGUAAAUGAACCUUCAAAGUAAAUUUGGUUGUUGUGACAUUUGUGGUAGUUCUAUGUUCUUUUGGGCUCUACAACUUGAAGUUGAUUGUUUUAGUUCACCAAAAUUGAUUUUAUUAUUUUAAUUAGUUGAGUUGAUACUGUGUGGUGGUUAAUGAAUUUACGCACACUUCUCUUUGGGUUGUGUGGCUCAUUGAUGAAUGUAGGUAGCAUAAUAGGUCUUUUGUCUUAGAUAUGAAUCAGAUUAGAGUGUAGCAUUUGGUUGUUUGAGUGUAGCAUUUGGUUGUAGUGCUGUCUAAGGAACCCAUAAGAAUGUGAGAUUUAUGCUUACAUGAUAUAGUUCCUCUUUCUUCACAAUUACCGCGUAUCUCUAAUAUUGUUUUGAUUUAAGACAAUCGUAUCACUAUUGAUGUGUGACAUACUUUGUAUAGUAGUCUAUUGCAGUUAGCUUAAGCUGGUUAGUUUAUUUCGGGAUUGACAAAAGAGUUCGUCAAGCUUCUUAUUUGUGAUUCUUUUGUAAUAUGUGGAUUGUCUAGAGGGAUUUGCCUGUAAGUAUGUUGUUUUAGGCUUGCAGUGUUGCUUCUUUUUUCUUUCAAUGAUGAAAAUUGUAUAUAUAAACAUAAUUGAAAAGUUCAGCGACAUGUAUGGUGCAACAACAAAAAGUAAAUUGUUACAAAAUAAUUGGAGAACAUAUAACAAAUAUUUUGUAUAGAUUAUCAAUCCUAAUGUCUCCUCCAUAUACAGGAAGGACGCUAUGAAUACAAGAACAUCGUUGAUGAUGAAUGGAUAUGCAGUGAGUUUCACUUGAUUGUACUGUGAGGUGCCAUACCUUUCUCCUGUCAUUUCGUCCUGCCUAUGUCCUUUGUUAUUCCAACAAAGGUCUUUCAGAAACAGCUUCUCGACCUGACAGGGUAGGGGUAAGGAAAUUUUUUUACAGGUCUCACUUAAGCAUUCUGGAUGGACGUGAAUGUGGAGCAUAUGCGAAGAAUAGCUUUGAGAAUAUGUAUGUUUGCUUGUGGUUACUGCAUAGUUUUUGUUUUGAACAUCUUCUUCUUUAGGCACAUGAAGUAUGUGAAAGAACCUUUGAACUGCAUUUAAGUAGUCAUCUGUCCUUUUUCAUUUUUGAUACAACUUCUUUUCAGUUCUUUGCUUGAAUUUCAUGCCGAACAAUUGCAUAAUUUUUUUGAACUCCCCAUGUAUCAAUUUAUUGUUAUAAUUUCUUGGAGCUAUAGUGAAUUAGAUCAAUUGCAUCUUGAGUCUUGGCAUUGAUCAUGCUUAUUUUCAUAGCAUUGUGGAUAGCUGGUUAACGAAUUAGAUCAAAUGGAGC
This is a long non-coding RNA of Capsicum annuum, 1956 nucleotides long. RefSeq lists it as uncharacterized. The record is from RefSeq and is a predicted model, not a curated record. NCBI's taxonomy places the organism in Eukaryota, Viridiplantae, Streptophyta, Magnoliopsida, Solanales, Solanaceae. The transcript has 2 exons.